CGGGUGAGUAACGCGUGGAUAACCUGCCUCACACUGGGGGAUAACAGUUAGAAAUGACUGCUAAUACCGCAUGAGCGCACAGUACCGCAUGGUACGGUGUGAAAAACUCCGGUGGUGUGAGAUGGAUCCGCGUCUGAUUAGCCAGUUGGCGGGGUAACGGCCCACCAAAGCGACGAUCAGUAGCCGACCUGAGAGGGUGACCGGCCGCAUUGGGACUGAGACACGGCCCAA
RNAcentral lists this ribosomal RNA (231 nucleotides) under uncultured bacterium. RNAcentral's name for it is "partial 16S ribosomal RNA". It matches the Rfam family "Bacterial small subunit ribosomal RNA", at positions 103 to 334 of the family's 1533-position model. The record is from RNAcentral.